UCGUCGCUGCGUGCGUGCCUGUUAUCUGCACUGCAACCUCGCCUUUGAAAGGACGACAACCUUGCUUUUUAAUUACAAGUUGAAUGUUUGCUUAAGACGAUGGACACAUUGCAAAUGGCGGCAGAAGUGGAUCGGCUACAUCGGUGAAGCGACGAUUUAUAUUACAAGCGAGGCUAAUUGUAUUCUUUCGUUAUAGGUGAAUGUGGGACUGUAUCGACUGCAAGGACGUGAGUUACAAAAACGUGUAAUAUUGUAGCAUUAACGUUUGAACAAUACCAGCGCGAUGUUCACUUCGGUUUCUUUACAGGUAGUGUCCUAUCUCAACGGUCACGCAUAUGCGUGCAAAACUGCAACUGCUUGUCACAUCGAAGAGGGGUCUGGUGCCACAUGCUCGGACAAUUAUUCGUCGGCCAUUUCGUUUGAGGAACUGUCGUGUUCGUCAUUAAGGAUGAUCUUGGUUGAGCUUUGCAGUGCCAGCCUGGUGCAUCGGAGGGGUUGUGUCCAUGCAACGUGUGCUCCAUAUGUGUGUGUUGGGAUUAGUGAACCGUGUAUGCUUUCCAUUCGGCCAACGAUGAUGUACUGGAUGAAAUUUAAAGGUAUGUGCACGCCAAUAAACUUUGUUGUUUCAA
This is a long non-coding RNA of Ornithodoros turicata, 629 nucleotides long. RefSeq lists it as uncharacterized. The record is from RefSeq and is a predicted model, not a curated record. NCBI's taxonomy places the organism in Eukaryota, Metazoa, Arthropoda, Arachnida, Ixodida, Argasidae. The transcript has 2 exons.